RNAcentral lists this long non-coding RNA (3845 nucleotides) under Brassica rapa (field mustard). Its description in RNAcentral is "long non-coding RNA (BRAP_LNC003600)". Lineage: Eukaryota; Viridiplantae; Streptophyta; Magnoliopsida; Brassicales; Brassicaceae. The record is from RNAcentral.
AUCGAAAGAAGGUUUAAGAUUACCUCAAAUCGGAGAAUUAGAUGCAGCAGCUAGCUAGCGAUAUGAAUGUUUGCAGAAACAUGAAAACUAUUAUUAUUUAUUAUUAGACGACUUAACUAAGAGUACAUAACCAAACAAGCUACAUCACAACACAGCACACAAACCACUAACCAUCUUUGAUAGAUAUAACAUAAAUAACCAAAUACAAAUUCUAACAAACCAUAAUACAUAAAUCAUACGGGAACAGAAGGGACAAGAAGGUUAACCAUAGUUUUUCCAGACCCAGUUAAGAAUGCAUGUUCCAUGGAAGACAUGUUGGCAGCAUUGCAACCCAAGAAGAUCAUUGACCGGAGUGUCAGUGAUAUCGUCUAAGCAAAUACAACAUUCUGUGAAAACAAGCGCUACAUGUGGAUUUUCACGCCAUUCUUCAUUGACCCACCUAUUAUCCUCUCUCAGAAGUUGUAUUGUGCCAAAAGCUUCAUUGCCUUCAACAAUGAAAGGGAUAAAGUUGUUGAAGUGAGUAUCAUCCACGUAAUUGGAGAGAACAGUUGCGGUAUCAUUCCAAUUCCAAUCUAAAGCAUCAAACUGGUGGGGUAUGAUUCUUCUGUUUUCCGUCGGCGGGUACUCCGCAAUGCAAUGACGAAGGGAAGCUCGGUUUGUCAUGGCAUGUACAGGUAGAUGGGCGAAAAAAUCAUACAUUUCUUCAUCCUCUCUCAUCUGGCCUAAUAACACAUCUAUACCUUCUAUAGGACGAUGAAUCAUUCUCGUAAAUGAUAUUCCCGUUACUUGAUAACCAGGUAAGGUGAUAUCCAUCUCCAAAUCAUUAUUGGAACUAACAUGAGUUCCAUAACACUCCACAACAUGAGAGAUGUCUCGCCAUGCCAUAAUAACCUGUAAUAAACAAAGAAAAUGAAGAAAAAUGAGUAAGUAUGUGUUUUAAUAUAUUUUACACAAAACAACAAAUCUAUUUUUCCUAUGAACUUAAAAAAAAAAAACAAACAAGUUCGUUUCCAAUCAAACAUUCCAAACGAAUAAUUUGAAGAACAUCUAACGUGAAUAAGAAAGGUAGGUAGGUAGGUCAUUUCUCCAUAAAUAUCGAACCGUAAGAAAUUGCAGCAAGCGCGAAGAUGAUCUUGUUAAGAAGAAUGUUAAGCAAUCAUCAUAAUUCAAGAAAGAUAUUCAGAAUCGAAAGAAGGUUUAAGAUUACCUCAAAUCGGAGAAUUAGAUGCAGCAGCUAGCUAGCGAUCUGAAUGUUUGCAGAAACAUGAAAACUAUUAUUAUUUAUUAUUAGACGACUUAACUAAGAGUACAUAACCAAACAAGCUACAUCACAACACAUCACACAAACCACUAACCAUCUUUGACAGAUAUAACAUAAAUAACCAAAUACAAAUUCCAAAAACCAUAAUACAUAAAUCAUACGGGAACAGACGGAACAAGAAGGUUAAGCAUAGUUUUUCCAGACCCAGUUAAGAAUGCAUGUUCCAUGGAAGACAUGUUGGCAGCAUUGCAACCCAAGAAGAUCAUUGACCGGAGUGUCAAUGAUAUCGUCUAAGCAAAUACAACAUUCUGUGAAAACAAGCGCUACAUGUGGAUUUUCACGCCAUUCUUCAUUGACCCACCUAUUAUCCUCUCUUAGGAGUUGUAUUGUGCCAAAAGCUUCAUUACCUUCAACAAUGAAAGGGAUAAAGUUGUUGAAGUGAGUAUCAUCCACGUAAUUGGAGAGAACAGUUGCGGUAUCAUUCCAGUUCCAACCUAAAGCAUCAAACUGGUGGGGUAUGAUUCUUAUGUUUUCCGUCGGUGGGUACUCCGCAAUGCAAUGACGAAGGAAAGCUCGGUUUGUCAUGGCAUGUACAGGUAGAUGGGCGAAAAAAUCAAACAUUUCUUCAUCCUCUCUCAACUGGCCUAAUAACACAUCUAUACCUUCUAUAGGACGAUGAAUCUUUCUCGUAAAUGAUAUUCCCGUUACUUGAUAACCAGGUAAGGUGAUAUCCAUCUCCAAAUCAUUAUUGGAACUAACAUCAGUUCCAUAACACUCCACAACAUGAGAGAUGUCUCGCCAUGCCAUAAUAACCUGUAAUAAACAAAGAAAAUGAAGAAAAAUGAGUAAGUAUGUGUUUUAAUAUAUUUUACACAAAACAACAAAUCUAUUUUUCCUAUGAACUUAAAAAAAAAAAAAACAAACAAGGUCGUUUUCAAUCAAACAUUCCAAACGAAUAAUUUGAAGAACAUCUAACGUGAAUAAGAAAGGUAGGUAGGUCAUUUCUCCAUAAAUAUCGAACCGUAAGAAAUUGCAGCAAGCGCGAAGAUGAUCUUGUUAAGAAGAAUGUUAAGCAAUCAUCAUAAUUCAAGAAAGAUAUUCAGAAUUGAAAGAAGGUUUAAGAUUACCUCAAAUCGGAGAAUUAGAUGCAGCAGCUAGCUAGCGAUAUGAAUGUUUGCAGAAACAUGAAAAAUAUUAUUAUUUAUUAUUAGACGACUUAACUAAGAGUACAUAACCAAACAAGCUACAUCACAACACAUCACACAAACCACUAACCUUCUUUGACAGAUAUAACAUAAAUAACCAAAUACAAAUUCCAAAAACCAUAAUACAUAAAUCAUACGAGAACAGACGGAACAAGAAGGUUAAGCAUAAUUUUUCCAGACCCAGUUAAGAAUGCAUGUUCCAUGGAAGACAUGUUGGCAGCAUUGCAACCCAAGAAGAUCAUUGACCGGAGUGUCAAUGAUAUCGUCUAAGCAAAUACAACAUUCUGUGAAAACAAGCGCAACAUGUGGAUUUUCACGCCAUUCUUCAUUGACCCACCUAUUAUCCUCUCUUGGAAGUUGUAUUGUGCCAAAAGCUUCAUUACCUUCAACAAAGAAAGGGAUAAAGUUGUUGAAGUGAGUAUCAUCCACGUAAUUGGAGAGAACAGUUGCGGUAUCAUUCCAGUUCCAACCUAAAGCAUCAAACUGGUGGGGUAUGAUUCUUAUGUUUUCCGUCGGUGGGUACUCCGCAAUGCAAUGACGAAGGAAAGCUCGGUUUGUCAUGGCAUGUACAUGUAGAUGGGCGAAAAAAUCAAACAUUUCUUCAUCCUCUCUCAUCUGGCCUAAUAACACAUCUAUACCUUCUAUAGGACGAUGAAUCUUUCUCGUAAAUGAUAUUCCCGUUACUUGAUAACCAGGUAAGGUGAUAUCCAUCUCCAAAUCAUUAUUGGAACUAACAUCAGUUCCAUAACACUCCACAACAUGAGAGAUGUCUCGCCAUGCCAUAAUAACCUGUAAUAAACAAAGAAAAUGAAGAAAAAUGAGUAAGUAUGUGUUUUAAUAUAUUUUACACAAAACAACAAAUCUAUUUUUCUUAUGAACUAUAAAAAAAAAAAAAACCUAGGUCGUUUUCAAUCAAACAUUCCAAACGAAUAAUUUGAAGAACAUCUAACGUGAACAAGAAAAGUAGGUAGGUCAUUUCUCCAUAAAUAUCGAACCGUAAGAAAUUGCAGCAAGCGCGAAGAUGAUCUUGUUAAGAAGAUAGUUAAGCAAUCAUCAUAAUUCAAGAAAGAGAUUCAGAAUCGAAAGAAGGUUUAAGAUUACCUCAAAUCGGAGAAUUAGAUGCAGCAGCUAGCUAGCGAUAUGAAUGUUUGCUGAAACAUGAAAAAUAUUAUUAUUUAUUAUUAGACGACUUAACUAAGAGUACAUAACCAAACAACCUACAUCACAAUACAGCACACAAAUCACUAACCAUCUUUGACAGAUAAAACAUAAAUAACCAAAUACAAAUUCAAACAAACCAUAAUACAUAAAUCAUACGAGAACAGACGGGACAAGAAAGUUAAGCAUAGUUUUUCCAAAGCCAGUUAAGAAUGCAUGUU